UAAUACUUAAAAGUGAUUCUGUGAGGCAUUUUUCGAGCGAGAGUGUCGUAGCAGCGUGUUAUGGCUGAAAUAUUAUCGAAGAGAGAAAAAGGACGAAAAAGAGGAGAAAAAAUGUCGAAGGCAUCGAAGAUUUGAGUGCGUCUAUCCCCCUCCCUCCUACUUAUAAUAAAGUCGGAAUCCUCGUUAACAGGUUUCUUGUCUUGUGUCUUCUCCGCGCCAGCUGGAGCGCUCACCGGUUAUUUUGUGCUCAACGCCCGAACGGUUUAGACCGCCGCGAUAACCGACUUAGAUAUAUUUUUUAGUGUUAGUUAGUUUAAUUCACAUUACCUUUGUGACGCGUAAGUUUACCGAUACGGCUCGAACGACUAUAGAAUAAAAAGCAUGGCUUUUUCCAUGAAUAUUCCAUCGGACGAGAAGGUUGAGAAAAAGAAAUUCCCUCCAUCCGCCCCCAUUCACGCUCCUCCACCGGAACCGGAAAUUGACUCAAAAUACACCAAUGGUUGUGCCAUGAAAAUGACAAGAUGGUUACUGUUAAUAUGCGCCUCUUGCCUGGUGCUCUCCGCGCUGGCGUCGCCGGUGCUCCAGGGCGGCGGAGACGUGGACGUGGCGAAGGGACGGCAAGCGGACGCGGCGGCCGCCGUCGUGGAUAACAGCGUCGCGGCGGCGGCGUCGCCGGCGGCAGCGGCCCCCGUCGCGGCGGCGCCGGCCCCCGCGGUCACCCCCGAGCCCGAGGACGACGAGGACGAUGAGGAUGACGACGACGAUGACGUCGACCUCGACAUCACCGACGACGACGAUGAUGACGACGACGAGGAGGAGAACGAGACUGCUGCCGAUGAUGACGACGAAGACGAUGAUGAUGACUACGACUUCGAGAGGUUCUUCGAUGAUCUCCUGGGAGCUUGA
RNAcentral lists this long non-coding RNA (906 nucleotides) under Bemisia tabaci. RNAcentral describes it as "lncRNA ENSASIAIIG006559". The record is from RNAcentral. Lineage: Eukaryota; Metazoa; Arthropoda; Insecta; Hemiptera; Aleyrodidae.